This 424-nucleotide ribosomal RNA is filed under the name uncultured prokaryote. Its description in RNAcentral is "bacterial SSU rRNA". It matches the Rfam family "Bacterial small subunit ribosomal RNA", at positions 355 to 796 of the family's 1533-position model. The record is from RNAcentral.
UGGGGAAUAUUGGACAAUGGGCGCAAGCCUGAUCCAGCCAUGCCGCGUGGGUGAAGAAGGCCUUAGGGUUGUAAAUCCCUUUCAGCGGGGAAGAUAAUGACGGUACCCGCAGAAGAAGCCCCGGCUAACUCCGUGCCAGCAGCCGCGGUAAUACGGAGGGGGCUAGCGUUGUUCGGAAUUACUGGGCGUAAAGCGCGCGUAGGCGGACCUGCAAGUCGGGGGUGAAAGCCCGAGGCUCAACCUCGGAACUGCCUUCGAUACUGCAGGUCUUGAGUCCGGGAGAGGUGAGUGGAAUUCCUAGUGUAGAGGUGAAAUUCGUAGAUAUUAGGAAGAACACCAGUGGCGAAGGCGGCUCACUGGCCCGGUACUGACGCUGAGGCGCGAAAGCGUGGGGAGCAAACAGGAUUAGAUACCCCCGUAGUCC